AUUGAUCGAUAACGCAGCCUCGAUGUAAACCAUGUGGUUAAAAUAUGAAGAAUAAACGGCGGAAAACACAGUUUGCGUUCGUCUGUUGUGAGCGCAGAUAGUUAUUAUUUAUAUAGUAAAGCGAUGUUAUUAUUCUUUUCUGGAUUAAUUGAGCAGUGUUGUUUUUUCUAAAGUGACAAUAAAAAUGUGCAAGUUCUGAAAUAAAUAGCAUUAUUUUUAUACGGUACAUACAUAAUAAUGAUACAGAUCGUACAGUAUUCCGUCCUAUGUAACGUAGAAUGUAAGUACAUAUAACAACACAGACAUCUGCUGUUCAUACUGCAGGAUGUGAGAGCGGGUUUUUCUAUACAGAAUAAGGUCUUGACCAAAUUCAUGAACAGGUUUACUGUAGGGAAACAAGACAAACUCAUGAGAGUGCAGUUGUGCAAUUCUGCCCGGAAUGAAUUUGUGGAAAAAGCUCUCCCUGUUUGGAGAAAAAACAAGGCGAGAAGGCUAUACACCUGAAGUACAGUAGGAGUGUUGUUACACUAAAUCUAUAUUGAAGUUGUAAACCUUUUGACCAUAGGGGAAAUUGUAUUUUGUCACACUGUUUGAAAGAGCUAAUUUGGACCAAAAAAUUAUAAACUCUAGUCAUCCAAUUUAUUAAAAGUCUAGUCAGUCCAAACUGUUAAAGAUGUAAAAAGUUCUCUGUAUAAAAUGUUAUAUGUUUCACUGUUUGUUAUUAAAAGUAAAACAAAUAAAGAUUUUACUUGCUAUAAA
Dreissena polymorpha is the source of this 759-nucleotide long non-coding RNA. RefSeq lists it as uncharacterized. The transcript has 2 exons. NCBI's taxonomy places the organism in Eukaryota, Metazoa, Mollusca, Bivalvia, Myida, Dreissenidae. The record is from RefSeq and is a predicted model, not a curated record.